RNAcentral lists this ribosomal RNA (558 nucleotides) under Candida tropicalis. RNAcentral describes it as "eukaryotic LSU rRNA". It matches the Rfam family "Eukaryotic large subunit ribosomal RNA", at positions 77 to 652 of the family's 3401-position model. Lineage: Eukaryota; Fungi; Ascomycota; Pichiomycetes; Serinales; Debaryomycetaceae. The record is from RNAcentral.
GGCUUAGUAGCGGCGAGUGANCGGCAAAAGCUCAAAUUUGAAAUCUGGCUCUUUCAGAGUCCGAGUUGUAAUUUGAAGAAGGUAUCUUUGGGUCUGGCUCUUGUCUAUGUUUCUUGGAACAGAACGUCACAGAGGGUGAGAAUCCCGUGCGAUGAGAUGAUCCAGGCCUAUGUAAAGUUCCUUCGAAGAGUCGAGUUGUUUGGGAAUGCAGCUCUAAGUGGGUGGUAAAUUCCAUCUAAAGCUAAAUAUUGGCGAGAGACCGAUAGCGAACAAGUACAGUGAUGGAAAGAUGAAAAGAACUUUGAAAAGAGAGUGAAAAAGUACGUGAAAUUGUUGAAAGGGAAGGGCUUGAGAUCAGACUUGGUAUUUUGUAUGUUACUUCUUCGGGGGUGGCCUCUACAGUUUAUCGGGCCAGCAUCAGUUUGGGCGGUAGGAGAAUUGCGUUGGAAUGUGGCACGGCUUCGGUUGUGUGUUAUAGCCUUCGUCGAUACUGCCAGCCUAGACUGAGGACUGCGGUUUAUACCUAGGAUGUUGGCAUAAUGAUCUUAAGUCGCCCGU